Molecule: unclassified non-coding RNA, 298 nt
Organism: Callithrix jacchus (white-tufted-ear marmoset)
Lineage: Eukaryota; Metazoa; Chordata; Mammalia; Primates; Cebidae
Rfam family: Metazoan signal recognition particle RNA
About the family: The signal recognition particle (SRP) is a universally conserved ribonucleoprotein. It is involved in the co-translational targeting of proteins to membranes.
Source: Ensembl
GCCAGGCGCAGUGGCACAUGCCUGUAGUCCCAGCUACUCGGGAGGCUGAGGCUCUAGGAUCGCUUGAGCUCAGUAGUUCUGGGCUGUAGUGCGCUGUGCCGAUUGGGUGUCCACACUAAGUUCAGCGUCAAUAUGGUGACCUCCCGGGAGCUGGGGACCACCAGGUUGUCUAAGGAGGUGAACCGGACCAGGUCAGAAACGGAACAGGUCAAAACUCCCAUGCUGAUCAGUAGUGGGAUCGCGCCUGUGAAUAGCCACUGCACUCCAGCCUGGGCAACAUAGCAAGACUCCAUCUCUU